RNAcentral lists this ribosomal RNA (254 nucleotides) under uncultured bacterium. RNAcentral's name for it is "partial 16S ribosomal RNA". It matches the Rfam family "Bacterial small subunit ribosomal RNA", at positions 524 to 776 of the family's 1533-position model. The record is from RNAcentral.
UACAGAGGGUGCAAGCGUUGCUCGGAAUUAUUGGGCGUAAAGGGCAGGUAGGUGGUCUCAUUUGUCUGGGGUGAAAUCCCGGGGCUUAACCCCGGAAGUGCCCUGGAAACGGUGGGACUUUGAGUCCUGGAGAGGCGAGCGGAAUACCCGGUGUAGCGGUGAAAUGCGUAGAGAUCGGGUGGAACACCAGAGGCGAAGGCGGCUCGCUGGACAGGCACUGACACUCAACUGCGAAAGCGUGGGGAGCAAACAGG